AAAAAGGUAAGCUAAACAAGCUAAUAGGUUCAUACCCUAUUUAUGAGGAUAAAUUGAACCCCUCCCUUUUUA
RNAcentral lists this transfer RNA (72 nucleotides) under Chalcopteryx rutilans. Its description in RNAcentral is "tRNA-Met". The record is from RNAcentral. Lineage: Eukaryota; Metazoa; Arthropoda; Insecta; Odonata; Polythoridae.